AGAACGAACGCUGGCGGCAGGCUUAACACAUGCAAGUCGAACGCUCGUAGCAAUACGGGAGUGGCAGACGGGUGAGUAACGCGUGGGAACAUACCCUCCGGUUCGGAAUAGCUCAGGGAAACUUGGAUUAAUACCGGAUACGGCUGAGAGGCGAAAGAUUUAUCGCCGGAGGAUUGGCCCGCGUUCGAUUAGCUUGUUGGUGAGGUAACGGCUCACCAAGGCGAUGAUCGAUAGCUGGCCUGAGAGGAUGAUCAGCCACAUUGGGACUGAGACACGGCCCAAACUCCUACGGGAGGCAGCAGUGGGGAAUAUUGGACAAUGGGCGCAAGCCUGAUCCAGCCAUGCCGCGUGAGUGAUGACGGCCUUAGGGUUGUAAAGCUCUUUCGCUCGGGACGAUAAUGACGGUACCGAGAUAAGAACGCCCCGGCUAACUUCGUGCCAGCAGCCGC
This 449-nucleotide ribosomal RNA is filed under the name uncultured bacterium. RNAcentral describes it as "SSU rRNA". It matches the Rfam family "Bacterial small subunit ribosomal RNA", at positions 26 to 518 of the family's 1533-position model. The record is from RNAcentral.